Molecule: ribosomal RNA, 1031 nt
Filed under: Protodrilus affinis
Lineage: Eukaryota; Metazoa; Annelida; Polychaeta; Protodrilidae
Description: eukaryotic LSU rRNA
Rfam family: Eukaryotic large subunit ribosomal RNA
Source: RNAcentral
CCCCCAGUAACGGCGAGUGAAGAGGGAUAAGCCCAGCGUCGAACCCGCGAGUCUAGGCUUGUCGGGCAUGUGGCGUGUGGAUCCUCUCGCGCUCAACAAGACGGCAACCGCACGUCCUAAUGAUUCAGGCCUUUCCCACAGAGGGUGUCAGGCCCGUACCUGGUUGUUUGUCUUGGGAGCAGUGAGGUAUCUUAGAGUCGGGUUGUUUGGGAAUGCAGCCCAAAGUGGGAGGUAAACUUCUCCUAAGGCUAAAUACCAUGGCGAGACCGAUAGCGAACAAGUACCGUGAGGGAAAGUUGAAAAGCACUCUGAAGAGAGAGUUCAAUAGUACGUGAAACUGUUGAGAGGUAAACGGUGAAGGCGUCUCUUCUUCUCGGUCAGAUUCAGCCGCGAGCUCGGUGUCCGUCGAUCUAGUCAGACCGUAAGGCUGCUUGGGUCGCGGGUCGCCGGGAAAACGGUGCACUUCUGGUCGGGAUUAGUCACGGCCGAUUGGUCGGGAGUGUGGUGCCGCGUGGGUUGGAGGUUUGUCGCUUGCGUCAAGCCAAUACCCGCGUACGCAUGGCCUCUUGGUCGAUCGCAGAAGCGGAGCAGCAGCUACAGGCGGCGCGUGCGCCUUCGUCUUUUUCUCGAGGUGUCGUAUCUCUCACGAGAAAUGCGAUGCCGAACGGAAUCGGACUGGGGGUUCGCUCGUUUGUUGCUCCCCGCCCGUGGCGUGGGUGCCCUUUACCGACCCGUCUUGAAACACGGACCAAGGAGUCUAACAUGUGUGCGAGUCUUGAGGGUUCGGAACACCCGCAGGCGCAAUGAAGGUGAAGCUAGUUCUGCUAGUGAGGCGGGAUAGGGGCUUCGGCUCCUCGCACCGCCGUCCCGUCCACCGCAUCCUCGUAUGUUGGGCGGAGACUGAGCAUACACGUUGGGACCCGAAAGAUGGUGAACUAUGCCUGAACAGGAUGAAGCCAGGGGAAACUCUGGUGGAGGUCCGUAGCGAUUCUGACGUGCAAAUCGAUCGUCUGAUUUGGGUAUAGGGGCGA